AUUGAACGCUGGCGGCAUGCCUUACACAUGCAAGUCGAACGGUAACGCGGGGCAACCUGGCGACGAGUGGCGAACGGGUGAGUAAUAUAUCGGAACGUGCCCAAUAGUGGGGGAUAGCCCGGCGAAAGCCGGAUUAAUACCGCAUGAGACCUGAGGGUGAAAGCGGGGGAUCGCAAGACCUCGCGCGACUGGAGCGGCCGAUGGCAGAUUAGGUAGUUGGUGGGGUAAAGGCUCACCAAGCCGACGAUCUGUAGCUGGUCUGAGAGGACGACCAGCCACACUGGGACUGAGACACGGCCCAGACUCCUACGGGAGGCAGCAGUGGGGAAUUUUGGACAAUGGGCGCAAGCCUGAUCCAGCCAUUCCGCGUGCAGGAUGAAGGCCUUCGGGUUGUAAACUGCUUUUGUACGGAACGAAACGGCGUCUCUCUAAUACAGGGGCGUAAUGACGGUACCGUAAGAAUAAGCACCGGCUAACUACGUGCCAGCAGCCGCGGUAAAGUACUA
Molecule: ribosomal RNA, 506 nt
Filed under: uncultured bacterium
Lineage: Bacteria
Description: bacterial SSU rRNA
Rfam family: Bacterial small subunit ribosomal RNA
Source: RNAcentral